CUACGGGUCGCUCCAGUGAGGAAUAUUGCACAAUGGGGGGAACCCUGAUGCAGCAACGCCGCGUGGAGGAUGACGCAUUUCGGUGUGUAAACUCCUUUUAUAUGUCAAGAAAAUGACGGUAGCAUAUGAAUAAGCACCGGCUAACUCCGUGCCAGCAGCCGCGGUAAUACGGAGGGUGCAAGCGUUACUCGGAAUCACUGGGCGUAAAGGACGCGUAGGCGGGUUGGAAAGUCGGGUGUGAAAUCCUACAGCUUAACGGUAGAACUGUACUUGAAACUUCUAAUCUAGAGUAUGGGAGGGGGAGAUGGAAUUAGUGGUGUAGGGGUAAAAUCCGUAGAUAUCACUAGGAAUACCUAAAGCGAAGGCGAUCUCCUGGAACAUUACUGACGCUAAGGCGUGAAAGCGUGGGGAGCAAACAGGAUUAGAUACCCGGGUAGUC
This 439-nucleotide ribosomal RNA is filed under the name uncultured bacterium. RNAcentral's name for it is "partial 16S ribosomal RNA". It matches the Rfam family "Bacterial small subunit ribosomal RNA", at positions 339 to 795 of the family's 1533-position model. The record is from RNAcentral.